AUCGAAUGGAAUUAUUAAGAUAAAGAAAAAAAAGAAAAUUAAGUAAAUGAUUAAAUUUAAAAUUGUGAACGUUACACACUACAUGCCAUCCAGGUAUUUAGAAACUACAGUGCUUUAUUUUUUGUAUGAUAUAUUAUAUCUCUAUUAAUAUUAUAAAGAAAAAAAUUUAAUUAUAGCUUUCCAAGUUUAGGUCGACACGGGGCGCGAAUCGCACGUGAGAUAUCAAAUGGUUUUUCGGUGUGAAUGAUAUACGAUUGAUAUUUUCGUUUUUUUAUUAUUUUCGCGAAAAACUUGAGAAAUUUAUGAAAAUUUAAGAAUCCAAUGGACGAGUUAUUAUUUGUACGUAUGUGUGAUUUAUUUCGAUAAUAUUUUGACGACGAGAAAAAUUAACUUAAACGUUACUAAUCUUUUGGCCGUACUCCUACGCGGGUUUAUCCGUUGUUAAUAUUUCCAAGUGAAUGUGGUAUGUCUGUAAGAUAUAAAAAUUAUGCUAAAUGCGUGUAUAUGAGAUUAGUGGGGAAAAAAUGGUAGAAGGAGAUUGAGCGAGAAGUAUAGGGAAAAAAUUGCGAUUAUUAAGAGACAAGCUGACGAGCCUAAUAAAAGAAAUCUGCGCUGAAAGAAAUUAAAAGUUACGAGAUGAGAGAAGAGAGAAAAAAGCUUUGAGAAAUUGAAACUCUAACGAGAUAAGAUAUUAUAUUCUAUAUAUUAUAUUUGAGAUGAAAGUGAAAAGGAAAUUUUUGUGAUGACGGCAUAGGGAGCAUAGACAUUAUUUUUUAAUUUCCGAUAACGUCGUCUCCAAAUUUUAUGAUAUUACAAAAAAAAAAAAAACGCGAAAAUUGUAACUGUCCUUUGUAACGAACCGCACGCGAGAAACGUGGCUAGGCCCGGAAAUCGAAGUUAUUUCAAAAUUAAAAAAAAAAUUAAGACCCAGAAACUCAGACGAGCAAAGUCAAAAACUUGCAUACAGACUUUUCGAAAUAGCAUAAAAUUGUUAUGGAAUAAAAAAAAAUAUAUAUUACGCGGAAAAAAAAAGCUAUGCUAAAGAAAGUUCUUUUGUCCAACAUAACUUUUCAAAAUAGUACGUCACUCUGUUUACGUGCUAAGGUACCGUACUAAAAAUUCAAAGAUUAUUUGAAUAUAUCAAAAAAAUAAAAUUUAAUUCUUCGUCGUAACGUGCACUCGUGUAAAUUGAAUCCUGAAAGGAAUUUAGAAAAAAAAUAUGACCGUUACCCAAUAACGUCUCAUUAGACGUACCUGUGUUUCAGUGUUCAUAAAACUCGGACCUAUUUCGAAACUCUAGAUAAAACGCCCGGCCACGCGUCUCUCGUCAGCAGAACGAGAGAGAAAGAGAGAGAGAGAGAGAGAGAGAGAGAGAGCGAAAGCGAGUUAAAGAAUGCGUGAGUGUGAUAGUGUUCAAGAAUAAGAGAGAAUUAAGUGCGAGAGCGAAAGAAAGCUUGAGAAAACCGAGCUAUUAUUAAUAAGAGAAAAAAAUAUAGGUUAGUUCGCGCGGACGAUCGUAAGUUCCCGUUACGUUUUACGUAAGUUGGAAAUAUUUCCGAUCGUCCUAGGCAGUUAGCAUUACGUAACGUAUCCGAGAUAAAAAAAAACAACAACAGUAGGUUUUGAACCAAGAGAGCCUUGUGUUAAGUGCCUUCAAGUACGACUUAGAUUUAGGCUAGAACAGAGGCGCUGGGCGCGUCCAGCUGUGAAACAGAUUUACUGUAUUAAAUAACCAGACCCAGCCGCCAUUUUGGGUAGGAAUGCCCCUUACCGUCAUACCCCAUUUCAAACGUAAUUCAUCCCUUAAAAGAAAUGAAAUCCACAAGGAGACAAAAUUCGAGACGAGAAAACGUGACGUCUACCGUAGGAACUGUCAAUUCCUACCGUAGAAGCGGGAAUUUUAAAUAUUCGCCGGACGAGAAAUUUUGUAAGCAAAAAAAAUCCCAAGAUACGUUUUUUCGAUUUCAUCGAAUUUUUCGAAAAUAUAUUUUAUCUCCGAUAUAAAUCCACCCCUUGGAUUUCACGACGAUUCAAGGUGGUUUUCCAAGUGUGAAUUUUCUUCCCCUUACCUCUACUCCACCCUUCUUCGUCCUUCCCCGUUUUUUAUAUAUAUAUAUACAUACAUAUAUAUUUAAUACCGGUAGAUCCGGUUGACUUUGUUUAGGCAUCGCGAAACUGGUUUUCGCGUAAUUUCUCUUGAGAAACUUUUUGGCUUUACGUUGCGAUUUUAUUAAAGACGUUGCUCGGGUGUGCAGCUAAGACCACGAGUGGAACGAAAAAGAUGAAAAAAAUAAAAAUAAAGAAAAUGAAAUUCCAUUAGAAAAGUCCAAGCGGAGAUACCAACGACACUGGGUAUAUAUAUAUUCAACGUACACAAUUCUUUAGUUUUACGUUCUCGUAUCCCUUGCUUGUGGCUCUGCCCAAAGUGGCCCGGGUCAAUUUCUCGAAACCAGUGAUAUUUUAGAAAUUAUUUAUUUACGCAGAACAGAAACAAUAAUCUCAAGCUACUCACACUCACCUCUACUGCCAAUAUCUGCUUAGGUACUCUUUUUUUAUUCCUUUUACCUUCGUAUUGCAUCCCAGUUUCUUCCACUUUCUAUUUUUUUAAGCCACAAUGUGAUUCCUCCCUCUCGAUCCAGUUAUUUAUUUUACCAAAACUUUCCUCUUCAAAGACUCUCACCCAGUCCUCGUCCUUUUGUUUUUUUGUUUUUCUUUUCCUCGAUUUUUCACCCUAUCCAGAAAAAAAACCACCAGUACAAUUGUUCUUAAUAAUAGUGCACAUAACCUCUACACGUCGUAUCGAGCUCGCGAAUGGCCGAUAACGACGUUUAGAAAAAAAAAAAUGCGAUGUGCGAGAAAUCAAAAAAAAAAACUUCACUCAUAAAAAAAAAGAAAGAAAAUCAACGUUCAAAUUUAUAUGUAAAUUUGAAAAAUAUUUUUUUUUUUUAAAUCAUUUAACAUACACCGCAAUGUUUCUUUCAGACUUUCAGACUUAACGCAAUCAAUAUCUCGCACUCGACUUUAUGCACGGUAACUUUUAGUACAAGAUCAUAAUUAAUUGUCGACUGUACAGCACCGCAAGAUGAACCCAUUACAGUAACAAUUACAACUUCCGCUCAGCGCCUCGAACACAAAAAAUACUUGUAAUCAUAAUUCUUUUCGCCAUGUAUUUGCCAACGAACGAUUAUUUUUUUUUUUUCAUUUUAUAUUAAUAUUAUUUAGAGAACAACAUUAUUAACGACUACGCUAUUAAUAACGAUAAUCUUUCUAGAUACUUUUUUGCUUUUUUGCGAGACAUCGGUAGACACGUAUUUGUGUCACGUCAUACAUAUAUAUAUAUAUAUACAUACGUAUUUCCGAAACUGUUCACCCAUACAUACACAAAUCCAAAAGACAACAAGCAUAUUUUACAUACGUCAUACGACACGUGGAUAUUCAUACGUAUAUUUGUACAUACGUAACAAAUGCAUACGAGCAUACAUGAUACUUAUUACACUUUAUACGACGUACAGAAUAUGCAUAAUGUACAGCCUGUGUACAUUAUGUAUAUGGAAUUGAACUUUGACCCCUGCGCUCAUUACACUGGCGAAUACACCUACUUUAUUAUAUAUUAUCGACUAUUGGCUUUAUUGUAUCCGAGAAAAGAACGCUUGCUUAGUGAAAUACAAUGGCAGAGGGGAUGAGACCACGGCUUUAUUUUUGGCGUAUUGUGCUCGCGAAAUUAAUGCAUUUCAUUGGCUCUUUUGCGAGACUGUGAAAUUCAUUAUUUUAAUCCAAUGGGAAUUCACGUUAAACGAGCAGAAUCGCAAUCCUUCCGGCGUCCAUCCCUCGUUUCCACUGUGUUACGUAUCGAGUUUUUUUUAGAACAUUCCAAAAUGUUUAACAAUUUUUUUCUUUUUGUUGUCGUCAACUUGUAGAAAGCCUUGUAUUCGAUUUAGAGCAAAAUAAAGUCUAGAAAGGCA
Molecule: long non-coding RNA, 3962 nt
Organism: Cephus cinctus (wheat stem sawfly)
Lineage: Eukaryota; Metazoa; Arthropoda; Insecta; Hymenoptera; Cephidae
Exons: 2
Source: RefSeq, a predicted model, not a curated record